UUCUGGAAUGAAAGCUUCCUGAAAGGAAUCUAUUUCCCUGUGGGACUGCCCAGCUUUCAGCCCUGCUUCUGGGGGAAGAGUUCAUCACAGGACACCUCGUGUAUCUGCUCCGGUUUGAAACCAAACAGACUGAGAAAUGUUGAGAAACCCAGGUCCCAGCCAUCACCCACUGCUGGAGCCUGUGGGGCUGAGCUGGACCCCAGGGAGGAGCACUCUGUGCCAAUGCCCUGCCCUAAGGAAUCAAAUCCCAUCUCACCAUCCUGGCAGAAUGGAUUAAAAUGAACCACAGUGUGUUUGUGCUCAGAAACCUGCCCUGGUGUCCUUUGGCUGCUGGAGAAAAAAAGACUUGCAGGGGAGUAAAACUGUUUAGAGUGCAAUUCUCCUGGACAGAAGCAGCUGGAAUCUUUGUGUUAACUCUGAGGAAUGGAAGCCCCAAGGCACACAGUUCUUGCUUUAUUAACUGGGGACGUAGUUUAAAGCAAAAUUUCACCUUUCCCAUCAUUAAGGAAGAUGAAGGAGGGCAGCAUGACAAUGGUCUGCACCAGAUGCCCCCUGCUCAGACACAUAAUGGAGCUGGGGAGGCUUUUCUGUGGAAACACUCUGGUCCUGGA
Molecule: long non-coding RNA, 611 nt
Organism: Manacus vitellinus (golden-collared manakin)
Lineage: Eukaryota; Metazoa; Chordata; Aves; Passeriformes; Pipridae
Exons: 5
Source: RefSeq, a predicted model, not a curated record